CAGGGAUGUAGUUCUUGGAGGGAGAGGCUGGCCUUUGGGUGGAGCUGGGAUCAUGACAAGAGAUACAAUUGCAUAAAUGUUUUGAGGCUGAAGUCCCUGAUCAGCCACAAAGACCAGAAGC
Long non-coding RNA from Gavialis gangeticus (Gharial), 121 nucleotides. RefSeq lists it as uncharacterized. The transcript has 3 exons. Lineage: Eukaryota; Metazoa; Chordata; Crocodylia; Gavialidae. The record is from RefSeq and is a predicted model, not a curated record.